GCACAAGCGGUGGAUGAUGUGGAUUAAUUCGAUGACACGACGAAAACCUUACCCUUACCCUUGACAUCGCCGAACGGAACCCGUGCUGAGAGGUGGGGUGCUCGAAAGAGAGCCUGGACACAGGUGCUGCAUGGCUGUCGUCAGCUCGUGUUGUGAGAUGUUGGGUUAAGUCCCGCAACGAGCGCAACCCUUGUCAUUAGUUGCCAUCAUUCAGUUGGGCACUCUAAUGAGACUGCCGGUGACAAACCGGAGGAAGGUGGGGAUGACGUCAAGUCCUCAUGGCCCUUAUGGGUAGGGCUUCACACGUCAUACAAUGGUCGGUACAGAGGGUUGUCAAGCCGCGAGGUGGAGCCAAUCCCAGAAAGCCGAUCGUAGUCCGGAUCGGAGUCUGCAACUCGACUCCGUGAAGUCGGAAUCGCUAGUAAUCGCGGAUCAGCAUGCCGCGGUGAAUACGUUCCCGGGUCUU
Molecule: ribosomal RNA, 466 nt
Filed under: uncultured Rhodocyclaceae bacterium
Lineage: Bacteria; Pseudomonadati; Pseudomonadota; Betaproteobacteria; Rhodocyclales; Rhodocyclaceae
Description: bacterial SSU rRNA
Rfam family: Bacterial small subunit ribosomal RNA
Source: RNAcentral